RNAcentral lists this long non-coding RNA (1305 nucleotides) under Oryza sativa Indica Group (long-grained rice). RNAcentral's name for it is "lncRNA OsLaMu_07g0012670". The record is from RNAcentral. Lineage: Eukaryota; Viridiplantae; Streptophyta; Magnoliopsida; Poales; Poaceae.
AUGGUGCCUCCCUCGCCGCCAAGUGGGUGGGAUUUUCAUAAUGAGAUCAAGAAUCAAUGUCGUCUUCUCCAUGGUACUCCGGUUCAUUCCUCCUCUUUUUAUUGUUCUCGUCCUUUCAAAUUGGUGGUGGAUGUCUCUCAUUCCACCUUUCGUCUUGAGGAGUCCUCUGUUGCCCUUGCUCUUCGAGCUUGUUUGGGUGGCUCUCCUGCUGGUUUUCUUGUUAAACAUCUGAAUGAUCGGUGUUACACUUUUUGUGUUUGUAAUAAGUCUGUUGGUUUGUGGAUUUACAACCUUCGCUCCUAUAUUUGCCAUGAUUAUCAUAUGAGAUUCUUCUUAUGGCGCGAUGGUGGUCCUAAUUGGGGGUUUGAGUUUCGUCGGUGGGAAUCUGAGCAGCUUAAUGAAUGGACUGUUGUUAAGAAGAAGAAAUCUAAAUCUUCUGUUGUUGCUUCCUCUUCAGUUCCUAUCUCUAGGGUUUUCAAUCGCCUCCAUGUUCUUGAUCCCCCUUGCCCUUCUCCGGUGGCCGCCGGCGAGAAGGUGUCAGUCAGUGCUCCAGAUCCGAUUUCUCAUAAACCGGUUUCUAGACCUAAAGUUCCGGUGGCCGAUGGCAAUGCUCCUAAUGCGAUUUCUAAGUCUUUCUUCAAUUUCAAUUCUGGGCCUAAAGCUGCUCGUGUUUUAGGCCUAUCCUCAAAAUCUUCGGUCCUGUCAAACGGACUUCCCAUAGGGUUCGGAAAGUCUAGGUUAAAAAAUCAACUGUCAAGCCUUAGUCUCUCCGUUUUCCACUCUCAGUUGUUGCGAAGAAACCCUCUCCUCAGGAGAGUUCUCUACCUCCCAUGGCGAAUCUUCACCCUAAUCCACUCUGUUUCAUCCCUCCUGGUCUGCAUUUGCAUCUGGCCAGGCCUUAUCAUCGCGGGCGUGUUGAUACGAGAUGGGGAGUUUCUUGAUCAGGUCAGGAACAUUCGUGUGCUUGCUUCCUAUCCACAUCCAAAUGUUGUUGCUUUAUUCCAGAUUAGAUCACCUGUUCAUCGGGAUGCCUUAGUUCUUGGUCAGCCGAUUGCUUAUGAUGAGGUUCGUUUUGUUAGACAUGAUCAAGGUCCGAACUGGCGUAACGCCCCCUAUAAUCAUCGUGAUUGGAUCAUGUUGCUUGAUUUCCCUCUUGACUAUGUCACUUUCCAUAAUUUUGGUAAUGUGCAAAAUGUUAAUCAGGAUCAGAAUCAGGGUUGGGGUAAUUCAACUAACUCUGUCAUCAGUAUCUCCAGUGAUGAAGCUAUUGAGCAUGUGUCUGACAAUAGCCUGAUGGUUCAGAAG